AUCGUGGCAUAACAUACUUUG
Non-coding RNA from Caenorhabditis elegans, 21 nucleotides. Lineage: Eukaryota; Metazoa; Nematoda; Chromadorea; Rhabditida; Rhabditidae. The record is from Ensembl.